UUAGCUGGUCUGAGAGGAUGGCCAGCCACACUGGAACUGAGACACGGUCCAGACUCCUACGGGAGGCAGCAGUGGGGAAUAUUGGACAAUGGGGACAACCCUGAUCCAGCAAUGCCGCGUGUGUGAAGAAGGCCUGAGGGUUGUAAAGCACUUUCAGUGGGGAGGAGGGUUGAUAGGUUAAGAGCUARUUAAUUGGACGUUACCCACAGAAGAAGCACCGGCUAACUCCGUGCCAGCAGCCGCGGUAAUACGGAGGGUGCGAGCGUUAAUCGGAAUUACUGGGCGUAAAGGGUGCGUAGGUGGUUURUUAAGUUAUCUGUGAAAUCCCUGGGCUUAACCUGGGCAGGUCAGAUAAGACUGUUAGACUCGAGUAUGG
RNAcentral lists this ribosomal RNA (376 nucleotides) under uncultured Legionella sp. Its description in RNAcentral is "bacterial SSU rRNA". It matches the Rfam family "Bacterial small subunit ribosomal RNA", at positions 283 to 651 of the family's 1533-position model. Lineage: Bacteria; Pseudomonadati; Pseudomonadota; Gammaproteobacteria; Legionellales; Legionellaceae. The record is from RNAcentral.